This 490-nucleotide ribosomal RNA is filed under the name uncultured marine bacterium. RNAcentral describes it as "bacterial SSU rRNA". It matches the Rfam family "Bacterial small subunit ribosomal RNA", at positions 416 to 922 of the family's 1533-position model. The record is from RNAcentral.
CUUAGGGUUGUAAAGCUCUUUUACUAGGGAUGAUAAUGACAGUACCUGGAAGAAUAAGCUCCGGCUAACUCCGUGCCAGCAGCCGCGGUAAUACGGAGGGAGCUAGCGUUGUUCGGAAAUACUGGGCGUAAAGCGAACGUAGGCGGUCUAGUAAGUCAGGGGUGAAAUCCCGGAGCUCAACUCCGGAACUGCCCUUGAAACUACUAAACUAGAAUCCUGGAGAGGUCAGUGGAAUUCCGAGUGUAGAGGUGAAAUUCGUAGAUAUUCGGAAGAACACCAGUGGCGAAGGCGACUGACUGGACAGGUAUUGACGCUGAGGUUCGAAAGCGUGGGGAGCAAACAGGAUUAGAUACCCUGGUAGUCCACGCCGUAAACGAUGAUAACUAGCUGUCCGGGCUCAUAGAGCUUGGGUGGCGCAGCUAACGCAUUAAGUUAUCCGCCUGGGGAGUACGGUCGCAAGAUAAAAACUCAAAGGAAUUGACGGAUUAAC